UCUGGGAAACUGCCUGAUGGAGGGGGAUAACUGCUGGAAACGGUAGCUAAUACCGCAUAAUGUCGCAAGACCAAAGUGGGGGACCUUCGGGCCUCAUGCCAUCAGAUGUGCCCAGAUGGGAUUAGCUAGUAGGUGGGGUAAUGGCUCACCUAGGCGACGAUCCCUAGCUGGUCUGAGAGGAUGACCAGCCACACUGGAACUGAGACACGGUCCAG
This 215-nucleotide ribosomal RNA is filed under the name uncultured bacterium. Its description in RNAcentral is "partial 16S ribosomal RNA". It matches the Rfam family "Bacterial small subunit ribosomal RNA", at positions 116 to 334 of the family's 1533-position model. The record is from RNAcentral.